Molecule: long non-coding RNA, 414 nt
Filed under: Lathyrus oleraceus (garden pea)
Lineage: Eukaryota; Viridiplantae; Streptophyta; Magnoliopsida; Fabales; Fabaceae
Description: Pisum sativum (pea) long non-coding RNA (PSAT_LNC009749)
Source: RNAcentral
AUAAUUUUGUCUUGAUUUCACUCAAGUUUGAUAAAAUAAGCAACCUUUAUAUUUACUGAGUGUGUUGAAUUUUUGUUAUGGCUCAAGAAAAUUGAGGGGAAUAGAUAAUAGAAAAUUUUCACACUAGGGACUUAACUUAAAAUAAAUAUAUAUUAUGAUAAAAUUUAUUUAUUUAUUUAUUUUUUAUUAUUAUUUAUUUUUUUUAAAAUAAGGAAGGGAAAUAACAAUUAAAGGGAAAAUAACAUACUUGAAAAGGGAAGGUUGAAAGAACAAGGUUUUCCCCCCACACUUAAAUGAAACAUUGUCCCCAAUGUUUCAAAGAGAACAAAAGAAAUAGAAAAAAGAAAAAGAAACUAAAGUCAAUGCUGCCUGCCGCCUCUUGUUCUUGGACCUGGUGAUCAUUGACGUACUCCU